AACCCUGAAGUGUAACUACAUGUCAGACUGCAAAUCUGAAGUCGGCACCUGCCCCGGGUUU
Molecule: transfer RNA, 61 nt
Filed under: Coluber constrictor (Eastern racer)
Lineage: Eukaryota; Metazoa; Chordata; Lepidosauria; Squamata; Colubridae
Description: tRNA-Cys
Source: RNAcentral